Long non-coding RNA from Neofelis nebulosa (Clouded leopard), 636 nucleotides. RefSeq lists it as uncharacterized. The record is from RefSeq and is a predicted model, not a curated record. NCBI's taxonomy places the organism in Eukaryota, Metazoa, Chordata, Mammalia, Carnivora, Felidae. The transcript has 4 exons.
UGUCUAUAUCAGCAGAGAGAAGACCCUUCCUCUUCAGGAGGCUGCCCAACCACUUCUGUGGGCUGGGUCUGCAUUAAAGAUCUGGGAUUUCUAUGCUUUCUCUCUGCAGCAGAUAAUAACCAUACUGAAUGCUCACUGAGAGAAAAAAAAUAUAUGAAGUCUAAAUUUAAAACCAUCCAAAGUAACUAUUGCUGCUUUUAAAAGAUGAUGAGCUAAUGCCGAAAUGCCUGUGAAGACAGAAGAACAAAAGAAAACGUUGCAGGCUAAAGUAUCUGACAAGAAUGGGGAAAGUGUGCCAUGGAUUGCAGAAUUUAUCUCAUUGAGAUGGGAACAGAAAACUGAUGCAUGAUACUUCAAAAGAGAAAAAAAGUCUGUCAUGAAUCUUCUGAGUCUAGAGAGCCCGGAAAUAAUCCUGGCAAGCCACUUUUGUUAGAACAACAACCAAGAGGAGAUUUGGAGUGACUUUUUAUCGUUUUCUUAACACCAGUCCAGUGAAGAACCCAACUGGUGGUAGUAUGCAUCCAGGCCAAUGUUCCAAACUAUUUGAGAAAGGUGGCUACCAGAGAAAUUUAAAAUUGAAUAUAUGAAAACUGCAUCAUACUCAGAGUGGCCCGCACUGGGGUGCAAACACUUAGG